GGCAGACGGGUGAGUAACAUGUGGGUAUCUGCCCUUUGGCCUGGAAUAACACGAGGAAACUUGUGCUAAUACCGGAUAAGUCUUUACGGAGAAAGCUUUAUGCACCAUUGGAUGAGCCCGCACUUGAUUAGUUUGUUGGUGGGGUAAUGGCCUGCCAAGACUGUGAUCAAUAGCUGAUUUGAGAGGAUGAUCAGCCACAUUGGGACUGAGACACGGCCCAAACUCCUACGGGAGGCAGCAGUGGGGAAUCUUGCACAAUGGAGGAAACUCUGAUGCAGCGAUGCCGCGUGAGUGAAGAAGGCCCUUGGGUUGUAAAGCUCUUUCGUCGGGGGAGAAAAUGACUGUACCCGAAUAAGAAGGUCCGGCUAACAUCGUGCCAGCAGCCGCGGUAAUACGAAGGGACCUAGCGUAGUUCGGAAUUACUGGGCUUAAAGAGUUCGUAGGUGGUUGAAAAAGUUAGUGGUGAAAUCCCAGAGCUUAACUCUGGAACUGCCAUUAAAACUUUUCAGCUAGAGUAUGAUAGAGGAAAGCAGAAUUUCUAGUGUAGAGGUGAAAUUCGUAGAUAUUAGAAAGAAUACCAAUUGCGAAGGCAGCUUUCUGGAUCAUUACUGACACUGAGGAACGAAAGCAUGGGUAGCGAAGAGGAUUACAUACCCUCGUAGUCCAUGCCGUAAACGAUGUGUGUUAGACGUUGGAAAUU
This 700-nucleotide ribosomal RNA is filed under the name uncultured marine bacterium. Its description in RNAcentral is "bacterial SSU rRNA". It matches the Rfam family "Bacterial small subunit ribosomal RNA", at positions 97 to 831 of the family's 1533-position model. The record is from RNAcentral.